Molecule: long non-coding RNA, 2203 nt
Organism: Triticum aestivum (bread wheat)
Lineage: Eukaryota; Viridiplantae; Streptophyta; Magnoliopsida; Poales; Poaceae
Exons: 7
Source: RefSeq, a predicted model, not a curated record
UGCCUCCAAAACGCGACGACGCGCCUCCUCGAGAACUGAAAAUCCGUAACGGCCGUAUCUACCACCACACCCGCCCCCUCCCCCUCCCCCAAAUCGCUCGGAGAAACUAGGGUUUACCACCGGAGGAGCCGGCGGAGGCUAUGGCCGGCGGGGAGGAGAGGCCGCCGGGGUUGGCGCCAGUGGCUGCGUCAUCGAGUUUCGAAUUCGCCCUCAAUUAUGCGGCGUUUUCCGAUCGAAUUCUGCGACUUGAAAUCCCGGCCGAGGAUUCCGAGGCGCGGUUCGUCGGCGAAGGAUCGCCCUGCGACUCGCCGCGUAGCAUAUUCGAGACGGGGCCCGGCUUGGGAGGUACCUCGGCCGAGUCGGUGCGACCUCGCAAGCGCCGCAGACAAGACGACGAAUCUGUACCUCACAGCUCUGAAGCUGAGUUUGGAUCAACAGACGUAAAUGCUCUAUCCAUCAGUCCUGAACAUGGUGAUGCCACUGAUACACCCUGUCUAAGAGUAAAGCAUAUUCAUGUUAGCUCCUUGUUACUUGCUUCGAAAAGCCCCUACUUCUACUAGCUCUUCACGAACGGAAUGCAAGAGUCGAAACUGAAGGAAAUAACACUGAGGAUUGCGGACUAUGAGGACGAAGCCCUGCCAGAGCUGCUGCACUUUAUUUACAGUGGAAUGUUUAAGACAAGCGAUCCUGUUCUGCUUCUGAAAGUGAUGCGCGUUGCUGAUAAAUUUGAAGUUGUCCACUGCAUGAGCUAUUGCAGCCAGCUGUUGAUUAGUCUGCCGAUGACAAAGGAGUUAGCUCUCUUGUACCUUGAUUACAAUCACUCGGUCUCGAUAUCAAACGCUCUUCAGCCUGUGAAGAUAGCAGCUCAGGAAUUUUUGGCUGACAAGUCUGAAGCUGAGGUUUUGGAUAUGCCUCUCUCAGGGAUCAGAGCUAUAUUCUCGAGCAAUAAUUUGGAGGUGUUGGAGGAGGACUUCGUCUGGGAUUUCCUGCUGAAAUGGGCUCAUGCAAAGUAUCCAGAAUCUGCAGAAAGGCAUAGGAUCUUGAUCAAAUCUUUAGUGCCAUUAAUACGUUUGAACCAGAUGAGUUGUGGGAAACUUCUGUCACUUUUGUCUUGCUAGGAUUUGGGCACUCUUCAUUCUGCACGCAUUGUGAUCUCUGCCCUGCUAUACAAGUACAGUUCUGCACACAGAGCUCUUCCUGCUACAUCAUACUUCCAUUGCAGAUUCUUGGAGAGGACAUACAAGUUAAGACCUGUGAAGACGAUUGGCUUUGAGCGGCCCCACAAGCAACGUAUUGCCUACAUGGAUCUCAAGUCCGAAGAAUGCACCGGUCUUUUUCCGUCUGGACAUAUCAGGUCUCAACCAUUCCACUUUGCAGGACACUCGUUUUUCCUCCUUGUGGCAUGCAAUCUUAAUGCUCAACUAGGGAUUCACAGUUUUGGACUAUACUUGGGAGUUGAAAAGGAAAUAUCUCUGCCAAUAACCAUUGAGUAUGAAUUUGCAACGAGAACCAGACCUGCAGGUAACUUUGUGUUUAACCGCAGACAAGCCAAUACCUUCACAAGUGAAAACCAUCUACCAGCGGGAUUCCCAAAUGUGUUUAACAUGUCCUGGGAUCAGUUCGCUGCUGAAGCAAGUCCAUUGUUUGUUGACAACAUGUUGUAUCUACGAGUUCAACUGACAGCAAUGCAACUUUAGUCCCAGGCCCCACCAAAUGAUAGUUCUUGACUUUACACCUCAGUUGGUUCCAGAGCACGGCUGACAGCGGAGUUUGAUGCUGAAUUGGACAGAAGUACAGCUUCCCCUGGGACACUAGUGUCAAUGCGUCCACAAUUUUACUGUAGAGUGAUGGCUUGACCACGACUGGCGGUUUACCUUCGUUUCUCUGAACAUUUCGGACAGUAGAGUGUGUACAGCUUCCUCCAGAAUAGUACAGUAGCUCUGUUGAGGAAAGGUGCCAAGUGAUGCACUCUUGUUCGCCACUUCACAUUUGGAGUGCUAGGAAACGAUGAUGUUUGUUGUACAGCGUUGUAUAGCGGUUUUGGAGUCUCGGAGAAAUUAAACUCGAUCUCUUUUUUCUUUCUUUUUGGCGGGAAAAAUUAAACUCGAUCUCGCUUUCAGGAAAAAUUUGUGCUGAAAGUGCCGAUAUUCCCUGCCUUCAGUUGUUGAUUGCUGCAUUCUUCAAUACCAUCUUCCUCACUUCC